Molecule: long non-coding RNA, 657 nt
Filed under: Heterocephalus glaber (naked mole-rat)
Lineage: Eukaryota; Metazoa; Chordata; Mammalia; Rodentia; Bathyergidae
Description: lncRNA (ENSHGLG00000033134.1)
Source: RNAcentral
AACUACCUUUAGAUGCUGUGACUCAUUAGCUGGCCCGAGAAAAACAAGUCAGAAGACAAUGAAAAAAGAGUUAGUGCCUAUAUGUGAAGAACUGUCGGGGUGGCCUAUUCAAAGGAAGAAAGCUUGGUGAAUUGCUGGUGGAGGCCACAGAUAUGGAACCCACUCAUUCAGAGGGCCAACUACCAUUGAGCCUUCAGUCUGUCCAGAAAGGAGCUGGGAAGUUGAGGAUGAAGCCAUCAGCUGGUGUAAUGUCUGGGAAAGGCUUGAUCUCUGCUUCAGGAUGAUGCCUUGUUUCUCUGUCCUCACAUGGAACAAAGUAGGAGGACAAAGAAGUUGUGUCCCCCAUUGGAAAAGGGACAAGAAGACCAAAAAAGACUAAGAGAUCCCAUUUAAUGUCUUUUAUAAGAGCAUUAAUUCCAUGCACAAAGGCAAAGGCCUCAAGGCCUAAUCAUGUCCCAAGGGACCCACCUCUUAAUAUCAUCCACUUGGGGGAGCUGAAUUCCUAUAGAUGCAUUUUGGAAGAACACAGCCAUGCCAACUCCAGUACCUAACAACAUACAAGAAUGAGGAGAGUGGUUCUAAUUUCUGAUUUCCACUAGUUGAUAUAAAUGUGAAGGAUUCCUUAACUAUGAGAAAGGAGAGAAAUAGAUUCAGAAG